This 499-nucleotide ribosomal RNA is filed under the name uncultured bacterium. RNAcentral describes it as "partial 16S ribosomal RNA". It matches the Rfam family "Bacterial small subunit ribosomal RNA", at positions 28 to 507 of the family's 1533-position model. The record is from RNAcentral.
GACGAACGCUGGCGGCGUGCUUAACACAUGCAAGUCGAACGGGCCCGCCCCUGUUUUUGGGGGUGGGUUGAGUGGCGAACGGGUGAGUAUCACGUGAGUAACCUGCCCCCUGCUCCUGGAUAACUGCUUGAAAGGGCGGCUAAUACGGGGUGUGCCGGCUGGUCCGCAUGGGCCUGGUCGGGAUAGUUUCAUCUUCGGGUGUUUCGGUGGGGGAUGGGCUCGCGGCCUAUCAGCUUGUUGGUGGGGUGAUGGCCCACCAAGGCGGUGACGGGUAGCCGGCCUGAGAGGGUGGGCGGCUACACUGGGACUGAGACACGGCCCAGACUCCUGCGGGAGGCAGCAGUGGGGGGUAUUGCACAAUGGGCGGAAGCCUGAUGCAGCGACGUCGCGUGAGGGAUGGAGGCCUUCGGGUUGUGAACCUCUUUCUCCGGUGGUGAAGGCCCUGUCCGUUGCGGCGGGGUUGACGGUAGCCGGGGAUGAAGCGCCGGCUAACUACGUG